AACUGGAAAUUUGAGAAUUGUUUUUUUUUUAUUAUAGUCAAAUAUUAGUCAAAAGAAAUUCAAAUCAAACCUUUGAGACAUAAAAUUGCUAACUGGGUUUAAAUUAGGGGAUAAUUUGAAAAUACACCGUCUAUCAUUUAAAUUUUGAAAAAUAUAUUUUUUUUUCUUUUUUGAAAAUUACACUUUCUUGUAUAUGAUAAGACAUAUUUACCCUGGUUCUAAU
This 223-nucleotide long non-coding RNA is filed under the name Brassica rapa (field mustard). RNAcentral's name for it is "long non-coding RNA (BRAP_LNC004518)". Lineage: Eukaryota; Viridiplantae; Streptophyta; Magnoliopsida; Brassicales; Brassicaceae. The record is from RNAcentral.